This is a long non-coding RNA of Strigops habroptila (Kakapo), 145 nucleotides long. RefSeq lists it as uncharacterized. The record is from RefSeq and is a predicted model, not a curated record. Lineage: Eukaryota; Metazoa; Chordata; Aves; Psittaciformes; Psittacidae. The transcript has 3 exons.
ACUAUGACCUGCCGCUUUUUCCUGGAGGCACCAGUAGUGAUCCUCUUUACUGGUGCAUCAGCUGGUUGUUCAUUUGGUGAGGUGUGUGUUUCCUCAUUAGUCCCCUGCAGAACUGCGAAGUGAUUCUGGAUGAAGACAUCAAUUU